RNAcentral lists this ribosomal RNA (193 nucleotides) under uncultured bacterium. RNAcentral describes it as "partial 16S ribosomal RNA". It matches the Rfam family "Bacterial small subunit ribosomal RNA", at positions 340 to 524 of the family's 1533-position model. The record is from RNAcentral.
UACGGGAGGCAGCAGUCGAGAAGCUUCGGCAAUGGGGGAAACCCUGACCGAGCGACGCCGCGUGAGCGAUGAAGGCCUUUGUGGUUGUAAAGCUCUGUCAGUGGGGAAUAACGCCGGAUAGUUAAUACCUGUUCGGUCUGAACGUACCCACAGAGGAAGCUCCGGCUAACUCCGUGCCAGCAGCCGCGGUAAU